This 102-nucleotide ribosomal RNA is filed under the name Campylobacter coli. The record is from RNAcentral. Lineage: Bacteria; Pseudomonadati; Campylobacterota; Epsilonproteobacteria; Campylobacterales; Campylobacteraceae. RNAcentral also lists the same sequence under 6 other names.
CCUGGCGGCCGUAGCGCGGUGGUCCCACCUGACCCCAUGCCGAACUCAGAAGUGAAACGCCGUAGCGCCGAUGGUAGUGUGGGGUCUCCCCAUGCGAGAGUA